AGCAGCCGCGGUAAUUCCAGCUCCAAUAGCGUAUAUUAAAGUUGUUGCAGUUAAAAAGCUCGUAGUUGAAUUUCGGGGUUAGCAGGUCGGUCGUGCCAUCGGUAUGAACUGGUCUCGCUGAUCCCUCCCUCUUGACGAACUGUGAUGCCAUUAAUUUGGUGUCGCAGGGAAUCAGGACUGUUACUUUGAAAAAUUAGAGUGUUUAAAGCAGGCUCACGCUUGAAUACAUUAGCAUGGAAUAAUGAAAUAGGACGUUUGAUCCUAUUUUGUUGGUUUCUAGGAUUGACGUAAUGAUUAAUAGGGAUAGUUGGGGGCAUUAGUAUUCAAUUGUCAGAGGUGAAAUUCUUGGAUUUAUUGAAGACUAACUACUGCGAAAGCAUUUGCCAAGGAUGUUUUCAUUAAUCAAGAACGAAAGUUAGGGGAUCGAAGAUGAUCAGAUACCGUCGUAGUCUUAACCAUAAACUAUGCCGACUAGGGAUCGGA
RNAcentral lists this ribosomal RNA (483 nucleotides) under uncultured Glomus. Its description in RNAcentral is "SSU rRNA". It matches the Rfam family "Eukaryotic small subunit ribosomal RNA", at positions 569 to 1057 of the family's 1831-position model. The record is from RNAcentral. Lineage: Eukaryota; Fungi; Glomeromycota; Glomeromycetes; Glomerales; Glomeraceae.